CAGGGAGACAAAACUGAUUAUGAUGCCUGAUUAAUAUUUUAGGCCGUAAUCCUGUCACCUUAGGUCGAUCGGUACCUCAGAUUGAGACUUGCUCUCUAAGUAGUAAAUACUUAUAGAAAUAGAAUCAUUUUCAGUUCCUAAACUUGUCUAGGUCACACCCAACAAGGGUACUCCUGGGCCAUUAGCUCAGGUGGUUAGAGCGCACCCCUGAUAAGGGUGAGGUCCCUGGUUCAAGUCCAGGAUGGCCCAUUCGGUGUUGGGGGUAUAGCUCAGUUGGUAGAGCGCCUGCUUUGCAAGCAGGAUGUCAGCGGUUCGAGUCCGCUUACCUCCACUGAUCGACCUCCUGACUCACGAAAGCCAGGAGAAAACUGUUGCGUGUGAUUUAGAUAUGUUCUCUUUGAAUAGAACCUAACUUCUUGUCAUUCUAAAUUUAAUUUUAUUUUUAGCUGAUAUGAAGCUGGGCUCACUGCAAUCGCAAAUUGCAGGAGUUCAGUAGAACCUUGACGACUGCAUAGAUUAAGUCUGGAAAGAAUAAAGCAUCUCAUGGAUGCAUUGAUUUUCCUUAUAUACAUUUGCUUAGGCAAUGUAUUUAGGGAUUAUUAAUGAUCAAUUCUUGAGUAAGAGCCGAGAAUCUAUAUUGAUUUUUUCCUUUUAUUUAGGGAUUAAUUAAUAUAGAGAUUAUAU
RNAcentral lists this transfer RNA (684 nucleotides) under uncultured cyanobacterium. RNAcentral's name for it is "partial miscellaneous RNA". The stretch from base 259 to 331 matches the Rfam family "tRNA". Lineage: Bacteria; Bacillati; Cyanobacteriota. The record is from RNAcentral.